This 252-nucleotide ribosomal RNA is filed under the name uncultured bacterium. Its description in RNAcentral is "partial 16S ribosomal RNA". It matches the Rfam family "Bacterial small subunit ribosomal RNA", at positions 524 to 776 of the family's 1533-position model. The record is from RNAcentral.
UACGUAGGUGGCAAGCGUUGUCCGGAUUUACUGGGCGUAAGGGCGUGCAGGCGGUCUGUUAAGUCUAGGGUGAAAGCUCCCGGCUCAACUGGGAGAGGUCCUUGGAUACUGGCGGACUUGAGGGAGGCAGAGGAGUAUGGAAUUCCCGGUGUAGUGGUGAUAUGCGUAGAUAUCGGGAGGAACACCAGUGGCGAAGGCGGUACUCUGGGCCUUACCUGACGCUGAGACGCGAAAGCGUGGGGAGCGAACCGG